This 326-nucleotide ribosomal RNA is filed under the name uncultured eukaryote. Its description in RNAcentral is "partial 18S ribosomal RNA". It matches the Rfam family "Eukaryotic small subunit ribosomal RNA", at positions 1470 to 1796 of the family's 1831-position model. The record is from RNAcentral.
CCCUUAGAUGUUCUGGGCCGCACGCGCGCUACACUGAUGCAUUCAACAAGCCUAGCCUUGACCGAGAGGUCCGGGUAAUCUUUGAAACUGCAUCGUGAUGGGGCCAGAUUAUUGCAAUUAUUAAUCUUCAACGAGGAAUGCCUAGUAAGCGUGAUUCAUCAAAUCGCGUUGAUUACGUCCCUGCCCUUUGUACACACCGCCCGUCGCUCCUACCGAUUGAAUGUGUUGGUGAGGAGCUCGGAUUGGCAGCAGUUGGUGGUUCGCCACCGGCUAUUGCUGAGAAGUCCUCCAAACCGCCCCAUUUAGAGGAAGGAGAAGUCGUAACA